CCCAAUUGGGUAGCUUUGACAAUCAAAUGGGUGGGUAUAAAAAGGCAAGUAAUUACAAUGCUUAAUGACGCACAAUGGCUGCUUUGGCACUGUUGGAAGAUUUGGCGAAUGAAAGAAUUCGGAGAGAGUGAAUUUUCAGAGACCAGCAAGAUUUACUGGCCAAUGAUUAUGAGUGGCUUAUGAGCCGGGUUCCGAUUACCAAGAGCUGUUCUCUUGGAUUUCUGUGCUCUAGUGGGCCCAGCUUACAGAUAAUCACCCGCAGAAACCAAGCCAUGCCUGUACCACUUCAAGUCCUGACUACCCUCGGAUUUCUGGCAACCGGCACUUUUUGAAGGGAAUUGUCUGACAGGUCAGGUAUCUCUCAGCCAACCUUUAGCUGUGUUAUGCCAGCGUGUUAAGUGGUAUAAUUGGAUUGACACAUCUCUACAUAAAGUUUCCUUACACGUGGCUCGGUGGCCUUGGUCAACCCAUGACUCAGUCAUAUGAAGAAACGGCAGUGUUGGGCGCAGACUUGAGGCCAGAGCUGUGCAUGAUGGCUUGCUUCUAGAGCGCAGAGGAGAGGAACUACAAUGUGCGUCAUUGCCAGGUACGCGCGGUUGUGGAGCGCACCAUCGGGCUUCUGAAGGGCAGAUUCCUCAGGCAGAAAUCUUUUAUACAUGCCUGAAAAGGUCUGCAACAUUGUGAGGGCGUGUGCUGUGCCACACAUAAUGUGGCACAGCUAAGGAAUGUGGCUUUACCCCCUGUUGCUGUUGGUUGUGUUGGCCCCGCCCUCGACCCCUAUCCCCAGGCGUUUGACCAAACGCAGCUGCCGUGCACCAGUGUGUGGAUGUGAUGCGUAGCUUGAAAACACAAGGACUGCAUCUGUGAGAACACGGCCGCUGGAGGGUUGUGACGCACGAGGUGCAGUGGAGACACCGGGGCUGGGCGCACUCUACUCCUGAUCAGCU
Salvelinus sp. IW2-2015 is the source of this 947-nucleotide long non-coding RNA. RefSeq lists it as uncharacterized. NCBI's taxonomy places the organism in Eukaryota, Metazoa, Chordata, Actinopteri, Salmoniformes, Salmonidae. The record is from RefSeq and is a predicted model, not a curated record.